This 253-nucleotide ribosomal RNA is filed under the name uncultured bacterium. RNAcentral describes it as "partial 16S ribosomal RNA". It matches the Rfam family "Bacterial small subunit ribosomal RNA", at positions 524 to 776 of the family's 1533-position model. The record is from RNAcentral.
UACGUAGGGGGCAAGCGUUGUCCGGAAUCAUUGGGCGUAAAGCGCGUGUAGGCGGCCAAGUAAGUCCGUUCUGAAAGCCCGGGGCUCAACCCCGGGAGGCGGAUGGAUACUGCUUGGCUCGAGUCCGGAAGAGGCGAGUGGAAUUCCCGGUGUAGCGGUGAAAUGCGCAGAUAUCGGGAGGAACACCUAUGGCGAAGGCAGCUCGCUGGGACGUUACUGACGCUGAGACGCGAAAGCGUGGGGAGCAAACAGG